UUUGCAAAAUGAGGUGGAGUUAUUCUUCAUCGUCACCAACCACCCUCACAUGCCUUUGCGCUUCGACAGCUGGGUCCUUCAUAGUUUUGGACCAGGCUGGCUGAAUGACCUACUCCCCGUCGAUUGAGGCUGUUGCUUUUAAUCCAGUUCUUCCCAUUCCCACGAGAUGCUUUUCCUACAUUGGAGGAGAAGGUGAGCCACGAGAUGUUUUUCCUACAUUGGAGGAGAAGGUGAGCUGAGGUUGGUCCACAAUUAUGUCAGAAUGUAAGGCCCAGGAUCAUGAACUAAAAGGCCUGUUGUGGUUGGCGAACCAAGAGCCUUUGAUGCCAUUCACCAUUCAACGACAACUGUUCUAGAAAAACCAAAGUACUUAAUACAACCAGAGUUGGCUGUGGCAUUGGUUAAAGACAUCCUUAGGAAUGUGUUGUUGAUGUACUGAACACGAAAUAAUGCCUUUACUUUUCAUGUUUGUUGUGGUUUAAAGCAUAUGGAAGAUAUGACUCAGGGUCGUCUCUGUCAUGAACAUGUGUGUGUGUGUCUCUCUCUCAUACCCAAGUAGAAAGACACAUGCACGUGCACAAGUACUGAAAAACAUGUAUUUGUUGAUGUGUAGCUAGUGCUUGAAUUCGUGGCAUUUAUAAAAUAUCACAAUGCAGGUGGAUAUGGCUGAUUGGUGUAUUUUAUGGGCCCACUGUUCAAACGUGCAUAUGUUUUUAUUAGAGCUAACAUGUCAAUUCAUACAGUUAAAAGCAUUAAUAGAAGCAAAUUCUUGUUCUUUCCUACAAAUGAUAUGUGCCUCAUAGAGGGAGGGAGUUAUGCAAGUUUUUUGUCCAUGCAGGUGAUUGCCUUUUCUUAGCUGCAAAGUCAGAUGGGACUCCUCAUCUCCUGAAGGCUGCUUUUGAAAAUUGCCAUAAGCACAACUUUCAAUUUUCCUAUUUUCUUUCUGCUGUGAGCAUCUGUCGCUUUGGCCCUAUUGAAUUUUAUUGGUAUAGUCAUCAUGGCCAGUGACCAUGCUGCAACAGAAGAUGCCAGAUAUUAUUUGGCCUUCAUCUUGAUCAAAAGAGAAACAGAUUAUGAAUCACGGAAAAAUGCUCAUUGGCAUACUUGAUUCUUACCAAAACUAUAUUGGGGAGCACAAGGAGCAAGUCAUUGAUGCUGUUACACUGACGACAACAUCUAUGCCCUUAUCUUGUUCAUGGGGCACAUGUAUAGAUCUUGUUCAUGCUUGCUAGUGGUAUUCAAAAUUCUUGGACUAUACAAUUGAUGACAUGCCUAUUGUGGGUUGGAGAUGCGCUCAUUUGGGAUCCAAAUGUAGUAUGAAGUUUAUGGUUUGACAAGACCAUCUUUUUUUAGGAAAAAGGAAGCACUUCCCCGAAUAUGUCAUUCACCGGCAAUACCGUCUCAUAUCCAGACGGGACACCCAUUGACGGGACACCCAUUGGUAGACGGCAGCAGCAGACCACCACCAGUAGGCGGAGAGCGGUAAGUGGAUUAUCCAUCAGCGAUCAGGCAGCGGAGGUAAGGCCCAGGAUCAUGAACUAAAAGGUGAUUGCCUUUUCUUAGCUGCAAAGUCAGAUGGGACUCCUCAUCUCCUGAAGGCUGCUUUUGAAAAUUGCCAUAAGCACAACUUUCAAUUUUCCUAUUUUCUUUCUGCUGUGAGCAUCUGUCGCUUUGGCCCUAUUGAAUUUUAUUGGUAUAGUCAUCAUGGCCAGUGACCAUGCUGCAACAGAAGAUGCCACAUAUUAUUUGGCCUUCAUCUUGAUCAAAAGAGAAACAGAUUAUGAAUCACGGUGUGGAUCAAAUUGCUGGCAAACUGAUUCUAUUCAGUGGAUAUAGACUUGUCAUCUAUCACUUUUUUGUUAUUUUCUCAAGUCUUUUAAGAUUUUUCUUAUUUUAUAUAUUAUUUAUUGUUUGACUCUAAGCCCAACUGAUUGAGUCAUUGAGUCAGCCAAUUCACCAAAUGGGCACCCUAACCAAUUUGAUUAGUGAGAUUUUUUAUGCCACUGAUUAAGAUUGUUGUUGACAGGAAAAAUGCUCAUUGGCAUACUUGAUUCUUACCAAAACUAUAUUGGGGAGCACAAGGAGCAAGUCAUUGAUGCUGUUACACUGACGACAGCAUCUAUGCCCUUUGGGUUGGAGAUGCGCUCAUUUGAGAUCCAAAUGUAGUAUGAAGUUUAUGGUUAGACAAGACCAUCUUUUUUUAGGAAAAAGGAAGCACUUCCCUGAAUAUGUCAUUCACCGGCAAUACCGUCUCAUAUCCGGUAGACGGCGGCAGCAGACCACCACCAGUAGGCGGAGAGCCGUAAGUGGAUUAUCCAUCAGCGAUCAGUGAUGGCAGCGGAGGCCCAGGAUCAUGAACUAGAAGGUGAACAGUGCUGUGAAUCAAAUUGGUUAGGGUGCCCAUUUGGCUCCUGGUUCACCAACAGGACAGGCGACCAAGUUCAGGAAAACCCAAAAUGUUAGGAUCAAGUUCACGAAUUCAUGCAGCACAUAAGAUGCUUGUCAUAUCAAGUGUUAGGAAUUGUUCUUGGGGAUGAUUCUUACCAAAACUGGUUUGGGGAGCACAAGGAGCAAAUCAUUGAUGCUGUUACACUUGUGUGUGGUAUUCAGCAUCUAUGUGUUCCACUUACCUCAGUGCUUAGUGGAUUGGACAAUUGUUGUGAAUUUGGUAAACUUAUUAAUCUCAUUUAGACUGACUAUGUUCUCCUGUCUUGUUUUUCUUCGCAUGACUAUGAUUAAAAGUCUUCUUUAUAGCUAUGUAUUUCUGUAAUCUACUUUCAUAGCAAUAAUGUCUUGUAUUAGUGAGUGUAAUAAUGGUAAAUUUGAG
Long non-coding RNA from Nymphaea colorata (pocket water lily), 2827 nucleotides. RefSeq lists it as uncharacterized. NCBI's taxonomy places the organism in Eukaryota, Viridiplantae, Streptophyta, Magnoliopsida, Nymphaeales, Nymphaeaceae. The transcript has 12 exons. The record is from RefSeq and is a predicted model, not a curated record.